Molecule: long non-coding RNA, 604 nt
Organism: Ostrea edulis (European flat oyster)
Lineage: Eukaryota; Metazoa; Mollusca; Bivalvia; Ostreida; Ostreidae
Exons: 2
Source: RefSeq, a predicted model, not a curated record
GGGGGGGUGACUCCAAAGCCGAUAGAUCUGCCACAUUGCUCAAGCUGCCAUUGAUUCUGGUAAGUUAUUUUUUUUUUCAUCUUCCUGCACUAACAGAUAUUGAAUUAUGCAUAAAUACUCAUGGAUUAAUUUUUUUUAAUUUUUACUUCUAUUUGAAAUUUUCAAGAUAUCAAUUUCCUCAAUGCACAAUUUUCUAGAUUAAAAUACUGUUACAACAUAUUUAGGGAAUAUAAUGAAAUUUUAAUAUAUGUGUUUUGUGUUUGCAGACAAGACAAUAGAUUGAGAAAUACAAAAGUUGUGUCCAGAUUAAGACAGAUGUAAAGAAAGAGUUGAAAGAUGUUUUCUGAAGUGAGACAGCCAUACUCCUGCUUUCCAAGGAACCAAACAAUUACUUUCCUUGUAUUGACAUGGUGAAAAAUGGGGAGGGUCCAGAAAAUGACGAAGACCUCCAGAAUGUCAUCAGUGAUAUUGUUGCAAUUGAAUGUAGCCAAUUAUUAUCCAAUAUAAAUUAUCUAUGACUGAACUCAUAAGUGGUUAAGGAAAACUGUUUUAAUUUUUAUUCUUGCAAAAAAGAAUUGCAAUGAUUAAAUCUGUAUGUUUAUAA